AGCGGUGCUCCUGCGGGCCGA
Molecule: microRNA, 21 nt
Filed under: Homo sapiens (human)
Lineage: Eukaryota; Metazoa; Chordata; Mammalia; Primates; Hominidae
Description: hsa-miR-4746-3p
Source: miRBase by way of RNAcentral